This is a long non-coding RNA of Clupea harengus (Atlantic herring), 1127 nucleotides long. NCBI's taxonomy places the organism in Eukaryota, Metazoa, Chordata, Actinopteri, Clupeiformes, Clupeidae. The record is from Ensembl.
UUCUGCUUUAUAUCACUACAGAGUAGUGUUAAUGACAGUUAAUGUUUCCGGUCUGCAAAUCUGCAUCUGAACGACUUUAAGUCUGCAAAAGGUUAUUAAAUCGGCAGGCUGGGAUUCUGUGAUCUAAGACACCUGACCUUGCUGCAAUCUAUUAUGACUGAACUUUCCUAAUAGCUAAAAGCGCCAUAAAAUGCAGAGUGAGCUCGUGAAAUCUCCCUGUUGUCUGUUUCUCAUGAUGGUAGUGACAGCAGGGAAGGGUGGUGGUAGCAGUAAGAGAGGUGCAGUGUGUUUUCAGCUCUCUGUUUUUCCCUUCUGCGUCUCAGUCUCAGUCUCAGUCUCAGUCUCAGUCUCAGUCUCAGUCUCAGUCUCAGUCUCAGUCUCAGUCUCAGUCUGAGUCUCAGUCUCAGUCUCAGUCUCAGUCUCAGUCUCAGUCUCAGUCUCAGUCUCAGUCUCAGUCUGUCUGAGUCUCAGUCUCAGUUUCAGUCUCAGUCUCAGUCUCAAUCUCAAUCUCAAUCUCAGUCUCAGUCUCAGUCUCAGUCUCAGUCUCAGUCUCAGUCUCAGUCUCAGUAUUAGUGUCAGUCUCAGUCUCAGUCUCAGUCUCAGUCUCAGUCUCAGUCUCAGUCUCAGUCUCAGUCUCAGUCUCAGUCUCAGUCUCAGUCUCAGUCUCAGUGUCAGUCUCAGUCUCAGUCUCAGUCUCAGUCUCAGUCUCAGUCUCAGUCUGAGUCUCAGUCUCAGUCUUAGUAUUAGUGUCAGUGUCAGUCUCAGUCUCAAUCUCAGUCUCAGUCUCAUCUUCAGUCUCAGUCUCAGUCUCAGUCUCAGUCUCAGUCUCAGUAUUAGUGUCAGUCUCAGUCUCAGUCUCAGUCUCAGUCUCAGUCUCAGUCUCAAUCUCAGUCUCAGUCUCAGUCUCAGUUUCAGUCUCAGUCUCAGUUUCAGUCUCAGUCUCAGUCUCAGUCUCAGUCUCAGUCUCAGUCUCAGUCCAUUGUUCCGCUCAUUUAGAAACUGGUUGUGGAGCUUGGACCAGAUCAGGACUAUUGUUCUGCUCAUAUAGAAACUCAUUAAAUGGGUAUAACUUGGAAUAGUCUCUCUUAUAGUUAUUGGCAGUGUAACGAUGCUCUUAUAGUUGGGGG